RNAcentral lists this ribosomal RNA (254 nucleotides) under uncultured bacterium. RNAcentral's name for it is "partial 16S ribosomal RNA". It matches the Rfam family "Bacterial small subunit ribosomal RNA", at positions 15 to 263 of the family's 1533-position model. The record is from RNAcentral.
GAUCCUGGCUCAGGAUGAACGCUAGCUACAGGCUUAACACAUGCAAGUCGAGGGGCAGCAUUUCGCUAGCAAUAGUGAAGAUGGCGACCGGCGCACGGGUGAGUAACACGUAUCCAACCUGCCGAUAACUCGGGGAUAGCCUUUCGAAAGAAAGAUUAAUAUCCGAUGGUAUAUUAAAACCGCAUGGUUUUACUAUUAAAGAAUUUCGGUUAUCGAUGGGGAUGCGUUCCAUUAGUUUGUUGGCGGGGUAACGG